RNAcentral lists this ribosomal RNA (450 nucleotides) under uncultured bacterium. RNAcentral describes it as "partial 16S ribosomal RNA". It matches the Rfam family "Bacterial small subunit ribosomal RNA", at positions 338 to 795 of the family's 1533-position model. The record is from RNAcentral.
CCUACGGGUGGCAGCAGUGGGGAAUUUUGGACAAUGGGGGCAACCCUGAUCCAGCCAUGCCGCGUGCGGGAAGAAGGCCUUCGGGUUGUAAACCGCUUUUGUCAGGGAAGAAAUCUUCCGAGCUAAUACCUUUGGAGGAUGACGGUACCUGAAGAAUAAGCACCGGCUAACUACGUGCCAGCAGCCGCGGUAAUACGUAGGGUGCAAGCGUUGAUCGGAGUUACUGGGCGUAAUUCGUGAGGACAGGGGUGAAAUCCCCGGGCUUAACCUGGGAACUGCGUUUGUGACUGUACGGCUGGAGUACGGCAGAGGGGGAUGGAAUUCCGCGUGUAGCAGUGAAAUGCGUAGAGAUGCGGAGGAACACCGAUGGCGAAGGCAGUCCCCUGGGCCUGUACUGACGCUCAUGCACGAAAGCGUGGGGAGCAAACAGGAUUAGAUACCCCGGUAGUC